Long non-coding RNA from Xiphias gladius (swordfish), 420 nucleotides. RefSeq lists it as uncharacterized. The record is from RefSeq and is a predicted model, not a curated record. Lineage: Eukaryota; Metazoa; Chordata; Actinopteri; Istiophoriformes; Xiphiidae. The transcript is spliced from 3 exons.
UGCCCUCAGUCCAACGCGAGAGGAUGAAGAAGUAGCGCCGCUCAGAGGGGCGUAUUCCAACCUCUUGUCUUGUGAACACCAUGAUGGCUGAUGCUCCUGCAACUUGCAUCAGUUGCUGAGAUCUGGGCUUCUGUGGCAACAUGGCUACAACAGACGAAUUGUAAACAACUGCCAAGGUCAAGUGUCUGCAGGAACACGAGGAACACCACGUCUGAGUGCCUUACACAACACGGCCGGCUGAGAUAAUCCUGCAGACGAGGAAAACGCCGCUCCUCUGCUUCUCAUUCCUCACAUUUUUCUCUAUACAGCGAGAGGAGGACAAUGAACCCUAAUCCUCUGCUCAGUUGCCUGCAGCAACCGCUCUCAAUUUCCCUCCUCCACAUUUUACCGUGCUGAUACUUGGAAAGGAAAAAAAAAAAA